Molecule: long non-coding RNA, 262 nt
Organism: Tarenaya hassleriana
Lineage: Eukaryota; Viridiplantae; Streptophyta; Magnoliopsida; Brassicales; Cleomaceae
Exons: 2
Source: RefSeq, a predicted model, not a curated record
GGCUGCGAACAGGAGAAAUUGCUUCAGUCACUCACCUGUCACUUUGGUUGCGUCACCCUUUGGUGAAGAAUCAAAAGAUUUAUCAUUUCCGUGAUCGGGUGUUAUACAGAUGCGUGUGUCGAUGGGUGAAGCAUAACACGUGCGGAUCUUGGAAUGCUGCGAUCUUCCGACAGCACCGUAACUUGGUGUUCUCGAUAUGUCUUGGAACAUUUCUCGCGUUCUCUGUACUUACAUAAAAAAAUAAUAAUAAUAAUAACUUUUG